GUUGUAUAGUCAAGUAAUUAAGUGCAUGUGGUGGAUGCCUUGGCAGUCAGAGGCGAUGAAAGACGUGAUAGCCUGCGAAAAGCUCCGGGGAGGCGGCAAAUAUCCUUUGAUCCGGAGAUGUCUGAAUGGGGGAACCCACCUACUUUAAGGUAGGUAUUGCAACAUGAAUACAUAGUGUUGCAAGGCGAACGAGGGGAAGUGAAACAUCUCAGUACCCUUAGGAAAAGAAAUCAAUUGAGAUUCCCUCAGUAGCGGCGAGCGAACGGGGAUCAGCCCAUUAAGUUAUGUGUGUUUUAGUGGAACGCUCUGGGAAGUGCGAACGUAGAGGGUGAUAUUCCCGUACACGAAAGGGCACACAUAAUGAUGACGAGUAGGGCGAGGCACGUGAAACCUUGUCUGAAUAUGGGGGGACCAUCCUCCAAGGCUAAAUACUCCUGACUGACCGAUAGUGAACCAGUACCGUGAGGGAAAGGCGAAAAGAACCCCUGUGAGGGGAGUGAAAUAGAUCCUGAAACCGCAUGCAUACAAGCAGUGGGAGCACCUUCGUGGUGUGACUGCGUACCUUUUGUAUAAUGGGUCAGCGACUUAUAUUCAGUAGCGAGGUUAACCGUAUAGGGGAGCCGUAGAGAAAUCGAGUCUUAAUAGGGCGUUUAGUUGCUGGGUAUAGACCCGAAACCAGGCGAUCUAUCCAUGAGCAGGUUGAAGGUUGGGUAACACUAACUGGAGGACCGAACCCACUGUCGUUGAAAAGCCAGGGGAUGACUUGUGGAUAGGGGUGAAAGGCUAAUCAAGCCUGGUGAUAGCUGGUUCUCCCCGAAAGCUAUUUAGGUAGCGCCUCGGACGAAUACCAUAGGGGGUAGAGCACUGUUUCGGCUAGGGGGUCAUCCCGACUUACCAAACCGAUGCAAACUCCGAAUACCUAUGAGUACUAUCCGGGAGACAGACUGCGGGUGCUAACGUCCGUAGUCAAGAGGAAAACAAUCCAGACCGCCAGCUAAGGCCCCAAAAUCAUAGUUAAGUGGGAAACGAUGUGGGAAGGCAUAGACAGCUAGGAGGUUGGCUUAGAAGCAGCCACCCUUUAAAGAAAGCGUAAUAGCUCACUAGUCGAGUCGGCCUGCGCGGAAGAUGUAACGGGGCUAAAACUAUGUGCCGAAGCUGCGGAUGUAUACUUUGUAUACGUGGUAGGGGAGCGUUCUGUAAGCCGAUGAAGGUGUGUUGAGAAGCAUGCUGGAGGUAUCAGAAGUGCGAAUGCUGACGUGAGUAACGACAAAACGGGUGAAAAACCCGUUCGCCGAAAGACCAAGGGUUCCAGUCCAACGUUAAUCGGGGCUGGGUGAGUCGACCCCUAAGGCGAGGCCGAAAGGCGUAGUCGAUGGGAAAAUGGUUAAUAUUCCAUUACUUCUGUGUAAUGCGAUGAGAGGACGGAGAAGGCUAAAUCAGCCUGGCGUUGGUUGUCCAGGUGAAAGGAUGUAGGCAUGUAUCUUAGGCAAAUCCGGGGUACUCUAUGCUGAGAUCUGAUAGCAAGCUGUACUUGUACAGCGAAGUGGUUGAUGCCAUGCUUCCAGGAAAAGUCUCUAAGCUUCAGUUAUACAGGAAUCGUACCCGAAACCGACACAGGUGGUCAGGUCGAGUAGACCAAGGCGCUUGAGAGAACUCUGCUGAAGGAACUAGGCAAAAUGGUACCGUAACUUCGGGAGAAGGUACGCUGUUGUUGGUGAUGGAACUCGCUUCCUGAGCUGACGACAGCCGCAGAAACCAGGCCGCUGCAACUGUUUAUUAAAAACAUAGCACUCUGCAAACACGAAAGUGGACGUAUAGGGUGUGAUGCCUGCCCGGUGCUGGAAGGUUAAUUGAUGGGGUUAGCGUAAGCGAAGCUCUUGAUCGAAGCCCCAGUAAACGGCGGCCGUAACUAUAACGGUCCUAAGGUAGCGAAAUUCCUUGUCGGGUAAGUUCCGACCUGCACGAAUGGCAUAAUGAUGGCGGCGCUGUCUCCAGCAGAGGCUCAGUGAAAUCGAAAUCGCUGUGAAGAUGCAGUGUACCCGCGGCUAGACGGAAAGACCCCGUGAACCUUUACUGCAGCUUGACACUGAACUUUGACCUUACUUGUGUAGGAUAGGUGGGAGGCUUUGAAGCUGGAACGCUAGUUCCAGUGGAGCCGUCCUUGAAAUACCACCCUGGUAAUGUUGAGGUUCUAACUCUGUCCCGUGAUCCGGGACGAGGACCGUGUCUGGUGGGUAGUUUGACUGGGGCGGUCUCCUCCUAAAGAGUAACGGAGGAGUACGAAGGUGCGCUCAGCGUGGUCGGAAAUCACGCGUAGAGUAUAAAGGCAAAAGCGCGCUUAACUGCGAGACCCACAAGUCGAGCAGGUACGAAAGUAGGUCUUAGUGAUCCGGUGGUUCUGUAUGGAAGGGCCAUCGCUCAACGGAUAAAAGGUACUCUGGGGAUAACAGGCUGAUACCGCCCAAGAGUUCAUAUCGACGGCGGUGUUUGGCACCUCGAUGUCGGCUCAUCUCAUCCUGGGGCUGAAGCAGGUCCCAAGGGUAUGGCUGUUCGCCAUUUAAAGAGGUACGCGAGCUGGGUUUAGAACGUCGUGAGACAGUUCGGUCCCUAUCUACCGUGGGCGCUGGAAAUUUGAGAGGAUCUGCUCCUAGUACGAGAGGACCAGAGUGGACGAACCUCUGGUGUACCGGUUGUGACGCCAGUCGCAUCGCCGGGUAGCUAUGUUCGGAAGGGAUAACCGCUGAAAGCAUCUAAGCGGGAAGCCUACCUCAAGAUAAGAUUUCCCUAGGACUUUAUGUCCUCUAAAGAGCCGUUCGAGACUAGGACGUUGAUAGGUUGGAUGUGGAAGCAUAGUGAUAUGUGAAGCUGACCAAUACUAAUUGCUCGUGAGGCUUGACUAUACAACACCCAAGCAGUUG
This 2918-nucleotide ribosomal RNA is filed under the name Acinetobacter baumannii. RNAcentral describes it as "23S ribosomal RNA". It matches the Rfam family "Bacterial large subunit ribosomal RNA". The record is from RNAcentral. Lineage: Bacteria; Pseudomonadati; Pseudomonadota; Gammaproteobacteria; Moraxellales; Moraxellaceae.